This 246-nucleotide unclassified non-coding RNA is filed under the name uncultured fungus. RNAcentral's name for it is "partial contains 5.8S ribosomal RNA, internal transcribed spacer 2, and large subunit ribosomal RNA". Lineage: Eukaryota; Fungi. The record is from RNAcentral.
AACGCACAUUGCGCCCAUUAGUAUUCUAUUGGGCAUGCCUGUUCGAGCGUCAUUUCAACCCUCAAGCCUAGCUUAGUGUUGGGAAUCUACUGCAUAGUAGUUCCUCAAAUGCAAUGGCGGAGUUAUAGUCAUAUUUCUGAGCGCAGUAAUUAUUAUCACGCUUUUGUAGAUGCUGUAAGUCUUGCCGUUAAACCCUAAUUUUUAAUGGUUGACCUCGGAUCAGGUAGGAAUACCCGCUGAACUUAA